AAACUCGUAUGCAAAAGAGAGCCACGCAGCCAUCUUUCAGACCGCAUCGAACUCCUCCUUUCCGCCGCCGCCGCCGCCGCCGCCGCAGCCAUUCAUGGCGAGGCGCCGCCGGGGAGGAUUCGAACAUUAAUCCAUGCUAUUCCCCACCCGUCCCUGUAAAUCCCAAGCUCCUGCCGCCGCGGCCGCCGUAGCUGCUAUCUCCAGCCUCCGCCUCUCCUCCUCAUCGCCGGCGCCUAUUCCUCCCCCGUAUCACGACGACAACCCAUUCGCCUCACUACUCACUUCCGAUCCCCCUCCGCCGGAUCCGCUCCGCCAGGUUCUCGCCACCGGAGACGUCCACGGCGCGCUGCGCGGCCUCCCGCGCCUCGCUCGCCAGCUGUUCCGGUGGGCGGAGGGCACCCCGCACGGCUUCCCCCGCUCCGCCUCCGCAUUCGCCGCCGUCCUUGUCCCGCUCGCUGAGGCCAGCCACAACCGCGCCGCUUAUCCCGUCUCCCUCCGCGCCAUCCAGGCCGGCCUCCUCCUACCCCUCAUCUCUCUCCUCCUCACGUAUCCCCUGUCCCCCUCCUCCCACCACCUCCUCAACUUCCUCUUACGCAUGUCCACCAAGUUUGUGUCCAAAUGCCAAGCUCAAGACCCUGCGCCCACCAGCUGUUCGACGCAAUGCCUUUCGGCCUUCCAAGAGAUGGCGCGUCAAGGUGUGGCCCCUUAUGUCAAGGUGUGCAACUGCGUGCUCGCUAUGUUGUGCGACGCGGCCAGGUGGGACGAUAUGCGUGCUGUGUAUUCAGAUAUGCUUCAGCUCGGGGUUGAGCCAAGCAUUGUCACAUACAAUACAUUGCUGGAUUCUUUUUGUAAGGCAGGGAGGAUCGAUCAGGCUGUCAUGCUCCUCAAGGAUAUGGAGACCCAAGCUGCUGGGUGCUUGCCGAAUGAUGUCACCUAUAAUGUGGUGAUCAAUGGGCUGGCCAGGAAUGGUGAGCUGGGCAAGGCGGCUCAACUGGUUGCCAGAAUGCGGUUGUCCAAACAAGCAUCAGCCUUCACAUAUAAUCCACUUAUCAGUGGGUUGUUGGCAAGGGGUUUUGUUGAAAAGGCUGAAGCUUUGCAGCAGGACAUGGAGAAUGAUGGCAUUGUGCCAACGGUGGUGACAUACAAUACAUUGAUUCAUGGGUUAUUUAAAGGAGGGAAUGUGGAGGCGGCAGAGUUGAAAUUUGUGGAAAUGAGGGCGCUGGGGUUGCAGCCAGAUUUGAUUACUUACAAUUCCUUGAUAAAUGGACAUUGCAAGGCAUGUAAUUUGGAGCAGGCACUUUGGUUGCUUGGUGAUUUGAGACGUGCAGGGCUAGCACCAACAGUUUUGACAUAUAACAUCCUUAUAAAUGGUUAUUGUAGAUUAGGUGAUUUAGAGGGGGCUAUGAGAUUCAAGGAGGAGAUGAGAGCAGAGUGCUGCCUGCCCGAUGUUUGUACAUAUACUAUUCUUAUGAAUGGGUCAUGUAAGGCCAAGAACCUUGAUAUGGUAAGGGUGUUCUUUGAUGAAAUGCUGAGUAAGGGUUUAAAGCCAGACUGCUUUGCCUACAACACGAGGAUUUCAGCAGAGCUGACUCUAGGUGCUAUUUCCAAUGGUUCUCAGUUGAGGGAGGAGAUGAUGCUGAGUGGAAUUUCUUCCGAUACAGUUACAUAUAAUAUUCUUAUUGAUGGAUUGUGCAAGACUGGUAGCCUGAGAGAUGCCUAUGUGUUGUGGAUGAAAAUGGUCAGUGAUGGUUUACAACUUGACUGUGUCACAUACACUUGCUUGAUUCAUGCACAUUGUAAGAGGGGGCUUCUAAGGAAAGCAAACAAUAUUUUUCAUGGCAUGGUUGCAAGUGGUUUGUCACCCUCGGCUGUGACCUAUACCAUUUUUAUUCACACAUACUCUAAGGUGGGAAAUCUUGAUUCAGCAUAUGGCUGGUUCCGGAAGAUGCUGGAGGAAGGAGUGGAACCUAAUGAAGUAACAUAUAAUGUGCUCAUGAAUGCACUAUGCCGGAUAGGGAGAACUGAAUUGGCUUAUCAAUAUUUUCAUGAGAUGCUGGAGAGAGGAUUGGCGCCAAACAAAUACACAUACACUCUGUUGAUAGACGGGAACUGUAAAAAAGGUAACUGGGUGGAGGCUGCAAGGCUGUACUGUGAAAUGCAUCAGAAAGGUAUUCAUCCAGACCAUUGUACACAUAAUGCCUUGUUUAAGGGAUUUGGUGAAGAUCACAUGCACGACACAAUUCAGUACUUGGAGAAUGUUGUUUUGGGUGCAUAGGACGGUCUUCAAGAAAGGAUCGUCUUAGCCUUGCUUGGUGAAAAACUCUAUGACAGAUGGAAUUUGGGGUGACACUCUGGAUAAAGGAGCUAUGUGAUUUCCAGACAGAUAGCACAAACAGAUUGUGGAGCGGCUUGGCAGGAGGGGACUGCCGAACUACGGCAACUGCAUUCUGCUCAUUACACCGUGAAACCACUGAACACCUUUUGACUGGCUGCGGAGGAAUUGCUGCCCUGGAGAGGUCUACAAGCCUGCACUCCAAGGCCAGGGUGUGAAUUCGGUCCUUGGUGGAUUGAGAAACAUGAGGGGAUUCAACGCCUUUGUCCUGUUGAUAGCCUGGACAAUUUGGAAAAAGAAAUGAUAUGGUUUCCAGUGAAAUUGCCUAGUCUGUUAAGAAGCUAGUGAGGACAGUCAAAAUACUAUAAUGCACUAGGUGGCGUGAGGUUGGAUAUGGCGAGAUGAGAAGGCUGCUUGUUCGUGGUGGUUUGGCAGAAAUUAUUUAGCCUUCCCUAGCUAGGCAUGCUUCUGUACGGUCAGUUUUUUCUUUUUCUUUUACCCUUUCUUCCUUUGGCUUGGUUCAAUCCAAAUUCGGCAGUUUGUUGCUCAGUUUGGGGGCAAAGUUGUAAGUGUUAUUUCCUAUCCUAAUAUGAUGUCAUGCAGGCCUACUGCAUGUUCUCUAAAAAAGAAAGAUUAGAUUUCCAGUGCAAACCUGUUUAAUUCACCUACAGUAUGUCUUUCGGCGACUCUUCGAAUGGUCAAAUUCCAUCCAACUUCUCCUCCUAGAAACAUUCCACAAGAUUAGGAUGAUAAUCAUGUGCACAAGCCUGGGGUCAUCUGUGUUGAUUAGUAAGCUGAUCCAGUGAAUUCUGAUAUCUGGAUCACCUGAUUUAUUUUCAUCCUGUUCUGUUUCUUCCGAAGUAAUUCUGAAAAUAUGGUUUAUUUUAGCUUCAGGUACUUUCCUAUGGUUAUUCUGACGGGACCAUAUUCAUGCUGGAUACACAAAGAUAUUAUCGAACCUAUGCAUGUUUGAAUUUGAUGUCCAGUACCUUCCAUUUGUGAAGUUUAGGCUCCUUGUCUGAUAUGUUAUGUUUUGAUGAAUUACUGCAAAGCCAUUUUGGAAUGGCAGUAAUUAUGUCAUGAUUUCAUAUGUCCAUGUUAACAGAUGCUUUCUCUUAGGCCAACUACUCUCUCCGGUUGGGUUUAUAAGUCGGGCAUGGAUUCUUAGGUCAUGAGUUUGCCUAUGAAAACAUGUUACUCCCUCCGAUCCACAUUACUUGUCGCUCAAGCGGAGUACAUCCGUUUGAGCGAUAAGUAUAUGGAUCGGAGGGAGUAUUACAUUGUAUAAAAAAUAUAUCUUUAGAUGAGUGUCAAAUGUAGUUUCUAACCAUAUAAUUUGUGUGGCAUAUUAUAAAUGUUUUCUUAGUCAAAUCGAAGACCUAAAAACCUGUGCCCGACUUGUAAACCCAACCGGAGGGAGUAUUUUCAGCUUGUACUUGAUCUUGGCUACUUUACAAUUUUCGAAUUAUGUGCUUACAUUGUCUUGAACAAAUAAUAUAUCUUUUGUUAAAGCAAACGGGAGAAGAGUUAUGGGCAAAAUG
This is an RNA transcript of Hordeum vulgare subsp. vulgare (domesticated barley), 3873 nucleotides long. It is a transcript of the gene named pentatricopeptide repeat-containing protein At1g22960, mitochondrial-like, with no coding region annotated. The transcript has 3 exons. The record is from RefSeq and is a predicted model, not a curated record. NCBI's taxonomy places the organism in Eukaryota, Viridiplantae, Streptophyta, Magnoliopsida, Poales, Poaceae.